GACGAACGCUGGCGGCGUGCUUAACACAUGCAAGUCGAACGAUGAAGAAGAGAAACGCGAACUUCGGUUCAAAUUUCACUUCGGAUUAGUGGCAGACGGGUGAGUAACGCGUGAGCAACCUACCUCUUACAAAGGGAUAGCCUCGGGAAACCGUGAUUAAUACCAUAUGACACAUUCAUAAGGCAUCUUAAGAAUGUUAAAGCUACGGCGGUAAGAGAUGGGCUCGCGUCCCAUUAGCUAGUUGGUGAGGUAACGGCCCACCAAGGCGACGAUGGGUAACCGGCCUGAGAGGGUGAACGGUCACAUUGGAACUGAGACACGGUCCAAACUCCUACGGGAGGCAGCAGUGGGGAAUAUUGCACAAUGGAGGGAACUCUGAUGCAGCGACGCCGCGUGAGCGAUGAAGGAAUUCGUUUCGUAAAGCCCUGUUCUAUGGGAAGAAAAGGACUGUACCAUAGGAGAAAGCCCCGGCUAAAUACGUG
RNAcentral lists this ribosomal RNA (482 nucleotides) under uncultured bacterium. RNAcentral describes it as "partial 16S ribosomal RNA". It matches the Rfam family "Bacterial small subunit ribosomal RNA", at positions 28 to 507 of the family's 1533-position model. The record is from RNAcentral.